This 305-nucleotide unclassified non-coding RNA is filed under the name Hevea brasiliensis (rubber tree). The record is from RNAcentral. Lineage: Eukaryota; Viridiplantae; Streptophyta; Magnoliopsida; Malpighiales; Euphorbiaceae.
AAAAUGUGCUGCAAUCAUUCAAGCUCCCACGUCCAAUUCUAGGUAUUGGUGGAGUGCUUCAGGUGGAACUGUUGGGCAGGGUGCAGAGACAAGAAAUGGAUGACUUGUAUUAUUUUUGUAUGUGCUAUGUUCGAGUGAUCGGCCGCCCGCUUUCGCCAAUUCUUGACGUUGACUUGAGCGACAGCUCAGGGAAGCCUGUCUUGAAGUUCCUACCCGCCGCAAUGCAGAGCGCCUUGCUAGAGCAGCAGUCGACUGAUCCCACCGGGCCCUCCAGUGAGCAAUCUCCCACAGCAAGGAACAAUCCG